GUGCCAGCAGCCGCGGUAAUACAGAGGUCCCAAGCGUUGUUCGGAUUUACUGGGCGUAAAGGGUGCGUAGGUGGCAGGGUAAGUUUGAUGUGAAAGCUCCGGGCUUAACCCGGAAAUGGCAUUGAAUACUAUCCCGCUAGAGGGUUGGAGGGGAGACUGGAAUUCUCGGUGUAGCAGUGAAAUGCGUAGAUAUCGAGAGGAACACCAGUGGCGAAGGCGAGUCUCUGGACAACUCCUGACACUGAGGCACGAAAGCUAGGGGAGCAAACAGGAUUAGAUACCCUUGUAGUCC
Molecule: ribosomal RNA, 292 nt
Filed under: uncultured bacterium
Lineage: Bacteria
Description: partial 16S ribosomal RNA
Rfam family: Bacterial small subunit ribosomal RNA
Source: RNAcentral